RNAcentral lists this ribosomal RNA (310 nucleotides) under uncultured bacterium. RNAcentral's name for it is "partial 16S ribosomal RNA". It matches the Rfam family "Bacterial small subunit ribosomal RNA", at positions 503 to 807 of the family's 1533-position model. The record is from RNAcentral.
AAGAGACAGCAGCAGCCACGGGAAUACAGAGGGUGCGAGCGUUAAUCGGAUUUACUGGGCGUAAAGCGUGCGUAGGCGGCUUUUUAAGUCGGAUGUGAAAUCCCUGAGCUUAACUUAGGAAUUGCAUUCGAUACUGGGAAGCUAGAGUAUGGGAGAGGAUGGUAGAAUUCCAGGUGUAGCGGUAAAAUGCGUAGAGAUCUGGAGGAAUACCGAUGGCGAAGGCAGCCAUCUGGCCUAAUACUGACGCUGAGGUACGAAAGCAUGGGGAGCAAACAGGAUUAGAGACCCGGGUAGUCCCUGUCUCUUAUAC